AAACAAUUACAGAUAGUUAGUGUGGCAUACUUGUGACGCUAAAUAAAAAAAUUAAGGAUGCUAAAUCACUAAAGUGGCGUCAGUCUAAAAAUAAUAAACAAAAUGAAUAGUUAUUAGUCUCCAUUUUUAAUAAUGCAAAUCCAACGCUAGUAGCGUCAAUGUUGAGGCUGACGCUAAUUUAUUAAAGAUAAAAUGGUUUUUUCUUGUACUGUUUCUUUCUUAUCUUGGCCCUCGAGCUUCUCAUGUUAAAUUACUAGUUGUGAC
Molecule: long non-coding RNA, 264 nt
Filed under: Lathyrus oleraceus (garden pea)
Lineage: Eukaryota; Viridiplantae; Streptophyta; Magnoliopsida; Fabales; Fabaceae
Description: Pisum sativum (pea) long non-coding RNA (PSAT_LNC023487)
Source: RNAcentral